Molecule: ribosomal RNA, 253 nt
Filed under: uncultured bacterium
Lineage: Bacteria
Description: partial 16S ribosomal RNA
Rfam family: Bacterial small subunit ribosomal RNA
Source: RNAcentral
UACGUAGGGGGCAAGCGUUGUCCGGAAUUAUUGGGCGUAAAGCGCGCGUAGGCGGCUUUGUAAGUUAGAGGUGAAAGCCCGGAGCUCAACUCCGGAACUGCCUUUAAGACUGCAUCGCUAGAAUUGUGGAGAGGUGAGUGGAAUUCCGAGUGUAGAGGUGAAAUUCGUAGAUAUUCGGAAGAACACCAGUGGCGAAGGCGACUCACUGGACACAUAUUGACGCUGAGGUGCGAAAGCGUGGGGAGCAAACAGG